AUUGAACGCUGGCGGAAUGCUUUACACAUGCAAGUCGAACGGCAGCACGGACUUCGGUCUGGUGGCGAGUGGCGAACGGGUGAGUAAUACAUCGGAACGUGCCCAAUCGUGGGGGAUAACGUAGCGAAAGCUACGCUAAUACCGCAUACGAUCUAAGGAUGAAAGCGGGGGAUCGCAAGACCUCGCGCGAUUGGAGCGGCCGAUGGCAGAUUAGGUAGUUGGUAGGGUAAAGGCCUACCAAGCCGACGAUCUGUAGCUGGUCUGCGAGGAUGAGCAGCCACGCUGAGACUGAGACACGGCCCAGACUCCGACGGGAGGCAGCAGUGGGGAAUUUUGGACAAUGGGCGAAAGCAUGAGCCAGCCAUUCCGCGUGCAGGAUGAAGGCCCUCGUGUUGUAAACUGCUUUUGUACAGAACGAAAAGGUUUCUACUAAUACUAGGAGCUCAUGACGGUACUGUAAGAAUAAGCACCGGCUAACUACGUGCCAGCCGCCGCCGUAA
RNAcentral lists this ribosomal RNA (500 nucleotides) under uncultured bacterium. RNAcentral's name for it is "partial 16S ribosomal RNA". It matches the Rfam family "Bacterial small subunit ribosomal RNA", at positions 30 to 523 of the family's 1533-position model. The record is from RNAcentral.